UAACAAGGAUUCCCCUAGUAACGGCGAGCGAAGCGGGAAGAGCUCAAAUUUGAAAGCUGGCACCUCCGGUGUCCGCGUUGUAAUCUCGAGACGUGUUUUCCGUGCGGCUCUACGGACAAGUCCCUUGGAAUAGGGCAUCGUAGAGGGUGAGAAUCCCGUACUUGCCAUGGAAGAACCGUGCUUUGCGAUACACGCUCUAAGAGUCGAGUUGUUUGGGAUUGCAGCUCAAAAUGGGUGGUAGACUCCAUCUAAAGCUAAAUAUCGGGGAGAGACCGAUAGCGAACAAGUACCGUGAGGGAAAGAUGAAAAGCACUUUGGAAAGAGAGUUAAAAGUACGUGAAAUUGUCGAAAGGGAAGCACUUGAAGUCAGCCAUGCUGCUUGAGACUCAGCCUGGCCUUUGGGCUUGGUGUAUUUCUCGGUGGCAAGCCAGCAUUGGUUUGGGUCGUCGGAGAAGCGCAUAGGGAAUGUAGCGUCUCCGGACGUGUUAUAGCCUUAUGCAGGAUACGACGACCUGGAUCAAGGAACGCAGUGUGCCCUCUGGGCGGGUCUUCGGACACCUUCACACUUAGGAUGCUGGCGUAAU
RNAcentral lists this ribosomal RNA (584 nucleotides) under uncultured Malassezia. RNAcentral describes it as "LSU rRNA". It matches the Rfam family "Eukaryotic large subunit ribosomal RNA", at positions 66 to 635 of the family's 3401-position model. Lineage: Eukaryota; Fungi; Basidiomycota; Malasseziomycetes; Malasseziales; Malasseziaceae. The record is from RNAcentral.